ACGAUAAGCUUGGCGCUCUUUGCAUGCAAUGGUUACAAGACAAGGUCCACUCAAUCCGCGAGGCUGCUGCCAACAAUGUGAAGCGUCUUGCUGAAGAAUUUGGUCCUGAAUGGGCAAUGCAGCAUAUAGUUCCACAGGUUCUUGAGAUGAUCAGCAACCCUCACUAUCUGUACCGUAUGACCAUUUUGCGUGCGGUUUCUCUUCUUGCACCAGUGAU
Long non-coding RNA from Brassica oleracea var. oleracea, 217 nucleotides. RefSeq lists it as uncharacterized. Lineage: Eukaryota; Viridiplantae; Streptophyta; Magnoliopsida; Brassicales; Brassicaceae. The transcript has 3 exons. The record is from RefSeq and is a predicted model, not a curated record.